AGGGAGCGGCGGGGAGUUUUUCCAGAAAGGCCCGGCCUCGCCGAGAGCCCGUCGCUUUCCGAGCGGGAGGGAAGAGGAGCCGGGACCCCCCCACGCCUCCCGGAGACCCUCCCGUGGCCGACGUCCGGGAGCUGAGGGGACGGGGGUCGUAGGACAGCAGAGACCGGCGCCCGCUCGCCCCGGUCUGACCGGUGAGUCUGGGCCGGGGAGUACACGGAUGGGAAAGGGCUCACGGGGGGACGGGGAACGAGAGAAAACUCCCCCGUCUCUCGGCACUCCGUCCUCCAGAUCCCCCGGGUGGGGGCCAGGAACGGGCGGGGAUUUAUUAAGCGCUUGUUACGUGCUAUGUACCGUGUACUAAGAACUGGGGUAGAUGCAAACUUAUCAGACCGGACACAGUCCCUGUCCUGCGUGGGGCUCACAGUCUUCAUCCCCAUUUUCCAGAUGAGGAAACUGAGGCACGGAGAAGGGAGGUGACUCGCCCACCGUCGCCCAGCAGACGAGCGGCGGAGCCGGAAUUAGAAGCCGGGUCCUUCUGACUCCCAGGCCCGGGAUCCGUCCGCUAGCCGAUGCUCCUACUCGUUGUGAGCGGGCACGGCCUCCUCCGGACCCCCUCUCCCUUCAAGGAGCUUACAGGGCGGGGGGGCUAGACCUUAAAUGAAUUACAGAGAAAGGACGGCGGAGUGGAACAGUGACGGACACGCGUGCUCCAGGGCCGGGAGGGGACGAGUAUCAAAAUCCUGAAGGGUUAUAGACCCGCGUGCAGAGGCGACAUGGAAGAGUGGGCCAAUCGUGUAGUCUGGGAAGGCUUCCCGGCAGAAGUGAGAUCUGGGCAGGGAUUUGAAGACGGGGACGGCGGUGGCCGUCUGUAGGAUAUGAAGGGGAAGGGAGGUCCGGGCCAGAGGGAGGAGGUGGGCCGGGGGUCCGCCGCGAGACCGACGGGAUCGAGGUACGGUGAGUAGGUCGGUGUUCGAGGAGGGAAGGGUGUGGGAGAUCAGGGAGGUGAGGCGGGAAGGGGAGAGCCGACCGAGCGCCUUAAAGCUGAUAGCGAGGAGCCUCCCUCUGACGCGGAGGCCGACGGGCGGUUAUCGGAGGCUUCUGAGGAGCGGGGAGACGUCGACGGGACGUUUUCGGUAAAGUGAUCCGGGCGGCAGAGUGAAGUACGGACCAGAGAAGGGGGAGGCCGGAGGCGGGGAGGUCGGCGAGGAGGCCGUCGCGGUAAUCAAGGGGGGAUAGGAGAAGGCUCUGGACUAAUGUGUUAGCCGUUUAGACGGAGAGGAACGGGGGGGGGAUUCUCGGGAUUUCGGGAAUUCGAGGCCGACGGGAUCUGGUGACAGACUGAAGUGAUGGGGAGGACGGGGGGGAUGCUGGUGUCGUCUACAGUGAUUGAAAGGUCUGAUGGAGAACGGGGGUCGGGUGGGGAGACGAGGAGCUCUGCUUCAGACGUAUUUGGUUGGAGGUGUGAGUGGGAUAUCCAAGAAGAGAUGUCCCGAGGGCCACGGUGAUUGAGAAGUCUGGGGGAAGACAGGGUUUGGGAGGGAAGAUGAGACGCUCUCU
RNAcentral lists this long non-coding RNA (1557 nucleotides) under Ornithorhynchus anatinus (platypus). RNAcentral's name for it is "lncRNA (ENSOANG00000039865.1)". Lineage: Eukaryota; Metazoa; Chordata; Mammalia; Monotremata; Ornithorhynchidae. The record is from RNAcentral.